Molecule: ribosomal RNA, 405 nt
Filed under: Babesia gibsoni
Lineage: Eukaryota; Apicomplexa; Aconoidasida; Piroplasmida; Babesiidae
Description: SSU rRNA
Rfam family: Eukaryotic small subunit ribosomal RNA
Source: RNAcentral
AUUACCCAAUCCUGACACGGGGAGGUAGUGACAAGAAAUAACAAUACAGGGCAAUUGUCUUGUAAUUGGAAUGAUGGUGACGCAAAAUCUCACCAGAGUAACAAUUGGAGGGCAAGUCUGGUGCCAGCAGCCGCGGUAAUUCCAGCUCCAAUAGCGUAUAUUAAACUUGUUGCAGUUAAAAAGCUCGUAGUUGAAUUUCUGCGUUGCCCGACUCGGCUACUUGCCUUGUCUGGUUUCGCUUUUGGGGUUUUCCCCUUUUUACUUUGAGAAAAUUAGAGUGUUUCAAGCAGACUUGUGUCUUGAAUACUUCAGCAUGGAAUAAUAAAGUAGGACUUUGGUUCUAUUUUGUUGGUUUGUGAGCCUUAGUAAUGGUUAAUAGGAACGGUUGGGGGCAUUCGUAUUUAA